RNAcentral lists this long non-coding RNA (279 nucleotides) under Lathyrus oleraceus (garden pea). RNAcentral's name for it is "Pisum sativum (pea) long non-coding RNA (PSAT_LNC014451)". Lineage: Eukaryota; Viridiplantae; Streptophyta; Magnoliopsida; Fabales; Fabaceae. The record is from RNAcentral.
AAAAAAUUAAAACAAAUAGUAUAAUAGUUGAGCAAAAUAGAUAAACUUUUUGGCCUCAUGUUUUUCGUUUAUUAAAUUAAAAAUAAAUGUUUACUAAACCAUGUGCAUUAAACAAGUUCCAUAAGAUUCUAUCAACCAAAAAAAAGUAUAUAAAAAUUGGGACCAAAUGUUGAAAAAUAGCCUAAGAAGUGUGAUAGACUCAAAUUGAUUAUAUGAAAGGUAGAGGAAGUUACGACAAAGCAUGCAUAGUUGGCUGGUCCAUGUGAAGCAUGGUUUCGG